UCGCCUGUUUAUCAAAAACAUAACUACAAGGUUUUUGUUGUAGCAAUUUCUGCUCAAUGAUUUUGAUUAAAUAGCCGCAGUACUCUGACUGUGCAAAGGUAGCAUAAUCAGUUGUCUUAUAAUUGAAGUCUAGUAUGAAUGAAUAUAUGGAUAAUGACUGUUUCUGUAGUUUACAUUGAAUUUAAUUAAAAAGUGCAAAUGCUUUUUUUGAAAAUUUAGACGAGAAGACCCUAGAAAUUUGGCUUUAGGAAUUUUGUUGGGGCGACAAGGUAACAUACUAACUUACCUUAAUAAUAAGCAAAGUGAUAUUUGGUAGAUAAAAUUACUCUAGGGAUAACAGCAUAAUUUAUUAUAAGUUUGUGACCUCGAUGUUGGAUUAGGAAAAUUAGUUGCUUAGAAAGUAACUAUUUUGGUUCUGUUCGAACUUAAUCUCCUACGUGAUCUGAGUUCAGACCGGA
RNAcentral lists this ribosomal RNA (458 nucleotides) under Triodopsis tridentata. Its description in RNAcentral is "partial 16S ribosomal RNA". It matches the Rfam family "Archaeal large subunit ribosomal RNA", at positions 1888 to 2689 of the family's 2987-position model. Lineage: Eukaryota; Metazoa; Mollusca; Gastropoda; Stylommatophora; Polygyridae. The record is from RNAcentral.